This 1284-nucleotide ribosomal RNA is filed under the name human oral metagenome. RNAcentral describes it as "bacterial LSU rRNA". It matches the Rfam family "Bacterial large subunit ribosomal RNA", at positions 1392 to 2555 of the family's 2925-position model. The record is from RNAcentral.
UAAGGCGAGGCCGACAGGCGUAGUCGAUGGAUGACGGGUUGAUAUUCCCGUACCCGUGUGCGUGCGACAAGUGAUGAAUCUUAUGGUACUAACCGCCCGCCUACGUGCACUGGUCUUUUUGGUUGGUGUGUGUGGGUGCGUGGGAUCUUCGUGGGUAGUAGUCAAGUGAUGGGGUGACGCAGAGUGGUAGCUAGGCUUCCUUAUUGGAUUGGAGUGCAAGCGUGUGGCCUGUGGGGUUGGGAAAUCCGCCCCGCAUUAUGGGUGAGGCGUGAUGCGGACACCAUGUUGUGGUGGUAGUUAGUGUGCCUGUGCUGUCUAGAAAAGCCUCUAGCGAGUGCGUGCAUGGCCCGUACCGGAAACCGACACAGGUGGUCAGGUAGAGAAUACUAAGGCGUUCGGGUGAACUGUGGUUAAGGAACUCGGCAAAAUGCCCCCGUAACUUCGGGAGAAGGGGGACCAUUACUGGUUGCUGACAGCAUGAUGGCUGGUGGUGGUCGCAGAGGAGAGAGGGAAGCGACUGUUUAUUAAAAACACAGGUCCGUGCGAAAACGUGGAAGUUGAGGUAUACGGACUGACGCCUGCCCGGUGCUGGAAGGUUAAGAGGACCCGUGAGCACGCCUAGUGUGUGCGAGGCGGAGAAUUGAAGCCCCAGUAAACGGCGGUGGUAACUAUAACCAUCCUAAGGUAGCGAAAUUCCUUGUCGGGUAAGUUCCGACCUGCACGAAUGGCGUAACGACUUCCCUGCUGUCUCAACCACAGGCCCGGUGAAAUUGCAGUACGAGUAAAGAUGCUCGUUUCGCGCGGCAGGACGAAAAGACCCCGGGACCUUUACUAUAGCUUGGUAUUGGUGUUUGGUCAUGCUUGUGUAGGAUAGGUGGGAGACUGUGAAGCUUCAACGCUAGUUGUGGUGGAGUCGCAGGUGAAAUACCACUCUGGUGUGAUUGGGUACCUGAACCUUGGCCCGUGAUCCGGGUUGGGGACAGUGCCUGGUGGGUAGUUUAACUGGGGCGGUUGCCUCCUAAAUGGUAACGGAGGCGCCCAAAGGUUUCCUCAGUCUGGUUGGCAAUCAGAUGGUGAGUGUAAGUGUAUAAGGGAGCUUGACUGUGACACUGACGGGUGGAGCAGGUGCGAAAGCAGGGACUAGUGAUCCGGCAUCUACGUGUGGUUGUGGUGUCGCUCAACGGAUAAAAGGUACCCCGGGGAUAACAGGCUGAUCUUCCCCAAGAGUUCAUAUCGACGGGAUGGUUUGGCACCUCGAUGUCGGCUCGUCGCAUCCUGGGGCUG